UGGAUACAGAGGGCCGGCCGCUGGCAACAUCGGUCCAAUCCUUAAAGUCAUCCUCAGUUCGGACUGGGGUCUGCAACCCGACCCCACGAAGCUGGAUUCGCUAGUAAUCGCGCAUCAGCCAUGGCGCGGUGAAUACGUUCCCGGGCCUUGUACACACCGCCCGUCAAGCCAUGAAAGCCGGGGGCGCCUGAAGUCCGUGACCGCGAGGGUCGGCCUAGGGUGAAACCGGUGAUUGGGGCUAAGUCGUAACAAGGUAGC
Molecule: ribosomal RNA, 258 nt
Filed under: uncultured bacterium
Lineage: Bacteria
Description: partial 16S ribosomal RNA
Rfam family: Bacterial small subunit ribosomal RNA
Source: RNAcentral